GAUGAACGCUGGCGGCGUGCCUAACACAUGCAAGUCGAACGGACCUUGCUCAACAGAGGUACUUGUACCGAAGGAGAGCGCUGGUUAGUGGCGGACGGGUGAGUAACACGUGGGUAAUUAACCUUCCGGACCGGGAUAACAUCGGGAAACUGGUGCUAAUACCGGAUACGAUUCACGGGCGGCAUCGCCUGUGGAUGAAAAGAGGCCUCUCGAAAGAAGCUCCUGCUGGAAGACAAGCCCGCGGCUGAUUAGCUAGUUGGUAAGGUAACGGCUUACCAAGGCAACGAUCAGUAGCCGGCCUGAGAGGGUGAACGGCCACACUGGGACUGAGACACGGCCCAGACUCCUACGGGAGGCAGCAGUGGGGAAUAUUGCGCAAUGGGGGAAACCCUGACGCAGCAAACGCCGCGUGAGCGAAAGAAGGCCUUAAGGGUCGUAAAAGCUCUGUUGUAAAGGGACGAAUGUUUAUCUGGCGAACAGUCAGAUAAAGUGACGGUACCUUACCAAGCAAAGCCCCGGCUAA
Molecule: ribosomal RNA, 523 nt
Filed under: uncultured bacterium
Lineage: Bacteria
Description: bacterial SSU rRNA
Rfam family: Bacterial small subunit ribosomal RNA
Source: RNAcentral